GGGGUCGUAGCUCAGUUGGUAGAGCGCCUGCUUUGCAAGCAGGAUGUCGCGAGUUCGAAUCUCGCCGACUCCACCA
This 76-nucleotide transfer RNA is filed under the name Pseudohongiella sp. Its description in RNAcentral is "tRNA-Ala". It matches the Rfam family "tRNA". Rfam says of the family: Transfer RNA (tRNA) molecules are approximately 80 nucleotides in length. Their secondary structure includes four short double-helical elements and three loops (D, anti-codon, and T loops). Further hydrogen bonds mediate the characteristic L-shaped molecular structure. tRNAs have two regions of fundamental functional importance: the anti-codon, which is responsible for specific mRNA codon recognition, and the 3' end, to which the tRNAs corresponding amino acid is attached (by aminoacyl-tRNA synthetases). tRNAs cope with the degeneracy of the genetic code in two manners: having more than one tRNA (with a specific anti-codon) for a particular amino acid; and 'wobble' base-pairing, i.e. permitting non-standard base-pairing at the 3rd anti-codon position. The record is from RNAcentral. Lineage: Bacteria; Pseudomonadati; Pseudomonadota; Gammaproteobacteria; Pseudomonadales; Pseudohongiellaceae.